CCUACGGGGGGCAGCAGUGGGGAAUAUUGGACAAUGGGCGAAAGCCUGAUCCAGCCAUGCCGCGUGUGUGAAGAAGGCCUUCGGGUUGUAAGCACUUUCAGUGGGGAAGAAAGCCUUGGGGCUAAUACCCUCGAGGAAGGACAUCACCCACAGAAGAAGCACCGGCUAACUCCGUGCCAGCAGCCGCGGUAAUACGGAGGGUGCGAGCGUUAAUCGGAAUUACUGGGCGUAAAGCGCGCGUAGGCGGUCUGAUAAGCCGGUUGUGAAAGCCCCGGGCUCAACCUGGGAACGGCAUCCGGAACUGUCAGGCUAGAGUGCAGGAGAGGAAGGUAGAAUUCCCGGUGUAGCGGUGAAAUGCGUAGAGAUCGGGAGGAAUACCAGUGGCGAAGGCGGCCUUCUGGACUGACACUGACGCUGAGGUGCGAAAGCGUGGGUAGCAAACAGGAUUAGAUACCCCUGUAGUC
RNAcentral lists this ribosomal RNA (464 nucleotides) under Vreelandella stevensii. RNAcentral's name for it is "partial 16S ribosomal RNA". It matches the Rfam family "Bacterial small subunit ribosomal RNA", at positions 338 to 795 of the family's 1533-position model. Lineage: Bacteria; Pseudomonadati; Pseudomonadota; Gammaproteobacteria; Oceanospirillales; Halomonadaceae. The record is from RNAcentral.